This 403-nucleotide ribosomal RNA is filed under the name Staphylococcus nepalensis. Its description in RNAcentral is "bacterial SSU rRNA". It matches the Rfam family "Bacterial small subunit ribosomal RNA", at positions 1 to 393 of the family's 1533-position model. The record is from RNAcentral. Lineage: Bacteria; Bacillati; Bacillota; Bacilli; Caryophanales; Staphylococcaceae.
UUUAUGGAGAGUUUGAUCCUGGCUCAGGAUGAACGCUGGCGGCGUGCCUAAUACAUGCAAGUCGAGCGAACAGAUAAGGAGCUUGCUCCUUUGACGUUAGCGGCGGACGGGUGAGUAACACGUGGGUAACCUACCUAUAAGACUGGAAUAACUCCGGGAAACCGGGGCUAAUGCCGGAUAAUAUUUAGAACCGCAUGGUUCUAAAGUGAAAGAUGGUUUUACUAUCACUUAUAGAUGGACCCGCGCCGUAUUAGCUAGUUGGUGGGGUAAUGGCUUACCAAGGCAACGAUACGUAGCCGACCUGAGAGGGUGAUCGGCCACACUGGAACUGAGACACGGUCCAGACUCCUACGGGAGGCAGCAGUAGGGAAUCUUCCGCAAUGGGCGAAAGCCUGACGGAGCA